This is a long non-coding RNA of Gallus gallus (chicken), 994 nucleotides long. NCBI's taxonomy places the organism in Eukaryota, Metazoa, Chordata, Aves, Galliformes, Phasianidae. The record is from Ensembl.
AGUUGUCUUCCUCAGCCUUGUUUACUUCCUUGUUCUCCGCAGCUUCUGCAGCUAGGGGUAGAGUUGGGGAGAUGUCAGCUGCUGAAAAGCCCAUAGUUGUGACUGACUGGGUGAUACUGGGGCAAAACUAAUGUCUGAGGUUGACUACACUUCCACUAGCAUCUUCUGAGAUGGCCCCUCUGGAGCUCUUGGGGAUGAGUCUCCUGGUACAGAGAGAUCUGCUGAUGACAGCCUCAUGUAUACAGAUGACAGAAUCAGGGCCAACAAAGACACUUUCUCCAGAAGUGAUGGAGGAGAGCUAAAAUGAAAUGCUGGAAUGUGGUCAUCUACAGGCAUGACAUUGGGUUGAGCAGAAAGAACAAAAAUUGAAGACAGAAAGAAAGCAGAAGUGUUGUAUUUAAAGGUUCUCAUAUCAACUGGAGCAUGAUAUCAUGGUGGAACUGAAUAACAAUGGUGCUGCUGGAAAUCUUUAAGGCUAUAAGUCACCACAUGAAAGUACCGAUCCAUAGUUAAUUUUACAGCAAAAUAGGUAGGGUCAGUGCUAUCAUAUGUGUACAUCUUCUAUUUAAAUACUUUACAACAUACAUGUAAGUUAUCUGGAAUUACUUUCCCAGAUAUGCUACCUUAGAAUCAUAGAAUUGCUAAGGUUGGAAAAGACCCACAGGAUCAUCCAGUCCAACCAUUCGCCCUCCAUCAAUGGUUCUCACUAAACCAUGUCCCUCAACACAACAUCCAAAUGCUCUUUGAACACCACCAGGCUCGGUGACUCCACCACCUCUCUGGGCAGCCCAUUCCAGUGCCUGACCACCCUUUCAGAGAAGUAGUAUUUCCUAACGUCCAGCCUGAACCUUCCCAGGCACAUCUUGAAGCCAUUCCCUCUAGUCCUACCUUUCUGAGUUUCAAACAUAUAACCUGCAGUCAAUCUGGCAAGUAACUUAGAAGCCACAAUAUGCAAUGUAGAUAUACCUACAUAUAUGAUAAAAGGAUAAUAAUG